Molecule: ribosomal RNA, 498 nt
Filed under: uncultured bacterium
Lineage: Bacteria
Description: partial 16S ribosomal RNA
Rfam family: Bacterial small subunit ribosomal RNA
Source: RNAcentral
AUUGAACGCUGGCGGCAUGCUUUACACAUGCAAGUCGAACGGUAACAGGCCGCAAGGUGCUGACGAGUGGCGAACGGGUGAGUAAUGUAUCGGAACGUGCCCAGUCGUGGGGGAUAACGCAGCGAAAGCUGCGCUAAUACCGCAUACGAUCUAGGGAUGAAAGCGGGGGACCGUAAGGCCUCGCGCGAUUGGAGCGGCCGAUAUUAGAUUAGGUAGUUGGUGGGGUAAAGGCUUACCAAGCCAACGAUCUGUAGCUGGUCUGAGAGGACGACCAGCCACACUGGGACUGAGACACGGCCCAGACUCCUACGGGAGGCAGCAGUGGGGAAUUUUGGACAAUGGGCGCAAGCCUGAUCCAGCAAUGCCGCGUGCAGGAAGAAGGCCUUCGGGUUGUAAACUGCUUUUGUACGGAACGAAACGGUCUGGGUUAAUACCUCGGGCUAAUGACGGUACCGUAAGAAUAAGCACCGGCUAACUACGUGCCAGCCGCCGCAGUAA